ACACGUGUAUUCGAAGGACUCUCGGCAACGGAUAUCUUGGCUCUUGCAUCGAUGAAGAACGUAGCGAAAUGCGAUACUUGGUGUGAAUUGCAGAAUCCCGUGAACCAUCGAGUCUUUGAACGCAAGUUGCGCCCGAAGCCAUUAGGCUGAGGGCAUGCCUGCCUGGGU
Molecule: ribosomal RNA, 168 nt
Filed under: Crotalaria retusa
Lineage: Eukaryota; Viridiplantae; Streptophyta; Magnoliopsida; Fabales; Fabaceae
Description: 5.8S ribosomal RNA
Rfam family: 5.8S ribosomal RNA
About the family: 5.8S ribosomal RNA (5.8S rRNA) is a component of the large subunit of the eukaryotic ribosome. It is transcribed by RNA polymerase I as part of the 45S precursor that also contains 18S and 28S rRNA. Functionally, it is thought that 5.8S rRNA may be involved in ribosome translocation.
Source: RNAcentral